This 347-nucleotide ribosomal RNA is filed under the name uncultured bacterium. Its description in RNAcentral is "bacterial SSU rRNA". It matches the Rfam family "Bacterial small subunit ribosomal RNA", at positions 72 to 422 of the family's 1533-position model. The record is from RNAcentral.
CACGGGGGCAACCCUGGUGGCGAGUGGCGAACGGGUGAGUAAUACAUCGGAACGUGCCCAGUAGUGGGGGAUAACCCGGCGAAAGCCGGACUAAUACCGCAUACGACCUACGGGUGAAAGCAGGGGAUCGCAAGACCUUGCGCUAUCGGAGCGGCCGAUGUCAGAUUAGCUUGUUGGCGGGGUAAAAGCCCACCAAGGCGACGAUCUGUAGCUGGUCUGAGAGGACGACCAGCCACACUGGGACUGAGACACGGCCCAGACUCCUACGGGAGGCAGCAGUGGGGAAUUUUGGACAAUGGGCGCAAGCCUGAUCCAGCCAUGCCGCGUGCGGGAAGAAGGCCUUCGGG